AUUGGGAAGGCAGAUAAAAUGCCAGGUCUGGACUGCCUCUGGGGAUAACCUCACCCUGUGGGAUGUGAAUGAAUAGCAUCUUGCCUGGUAAAUCCACAGGAAUUGAUAAGGCGGGCGCAGUUCUCCCAAACAGGCCUUUUCUCUUUAAGCUCUAGCUGUGGUUUCUGCAGCAAUUUUGUUUUUGCCUUGAAAGAGGUGCUCUGGAUUAUCAGACCUCCAUGUAUGACAAUUUGUACCUGCAUGGAAUUGAAGACUCGGAGGCUGUAAGUAUUUUCAUAGAUAGCUAAUUCCCUCUCCCCUCCUUUUCCUCCUCCCACUAUCCCCUCCACCUCCCCCUGCUUCUUAUUUCUUAGGCAACGCAGGGAACAUGGAGCAGAAAGCUAACAUCAUUUUGGGGCUUGCUGGCUGCUGUGUAAAAUGUUCUCUGUGUAGUUUAUAGGUAACUGAAAUUAUUUAUUGUCAAGCAAAAAAGAAAUUAGGGUGAUGGCAAAGCAUCUAAGAGUGUAGGCUGUUUGAAUUUAUACAUUACCGGGUCCACAUUUGAUCUCACCAGGGGUAACUGCUCCUUGCAGACUGGUUUAAACUAUGCAGAAAGUGCCUAUGUUUUCCAAUACCAGGGUUCAUAGAAAAGCCUCAUUCAUUAUAUAAUACACAUUGUUUGUUGAGCUAGCAUGAAUGGAAGUUCCUAAGCUGUAGCUGUAUUAUUAUGUGCUUUCUGGCCAAACAAGCAGUGCAGAUCUACUGCUUCUUUGUUAAGGAAAUCAGAUGCUAGGCUUGUGGCCAUACAGCACCCCAGUGCAGAGGCAGUGGGCAGUGUUCCUAUACUCUACCUUGGAGGAGCGAAGUAGACUCACGUGUGUUUUGGGUUAGAGAACUGGACUCCUUCUCUCCCCUAGGUCAGGCUCAUGCAAUCUGUUAAAAUCAGGAUGAAAUAAUUUCCUGAAAUCAUACCACAGAAUGCUAGCUUUUGAAUAUAAGGUAAAGCUGAUAAUUGAAUCUUUCUUUUGACUCUUGCUGGUGGUAGUUCCUAUUUUUUUCAUCAAUACACAGAAACCUCGCAAGGUAGAAUGGUUGGGGGUGGUUAAUGGGAAGUGCUGUGGGGAGUCUGAAUUUUAUGUGAGUGCAGUGCCAUACAUGUUGCUACAUUUGAAACAGGAGUGUGUUAUAUAAGAUUCUCUGGCUAAACCACCAAAUAAACAGGUUAUAACAACAACAACAAAAAACCCUGUGGUAUACGUCAAUGCAGACGUAUAUGUCUAAUGAUAUGCUAUCCAUGAAAGAUAGAAAUCCUCAGUUCUGUUAAGGCAUUCCAUUUUUCCUUUCUGUCUGUGUGUUUGCUCUAACUCUAACUCUGUUUCCGCAAAGUCUCUCUGCAUGUUGCCCAACGUGCUCAUAAAUGAUCAGACUGUCAGUGUAUUGCAAGGGACUGUAGUCUAAAACAUUGGUGGCUGAAAUCAAGAAGGUCCACACUUGCAGGUGGGGUGGGGGAAUGGCAAAGGCAAUUAUAGGAGUUCAGUAAGCCAGCUUCCCGGGCUGGGUUCUUCAGAAGGCCUGAUCUCUUCUUCUACCCCUUCUCUGCUCACUCAGUUAUGAAACCUAUGAUGCCUUGUGAAUUAUAAUUUUUAUUUUUGGCCAUUGAUUUUAAACUUGGGCAGGCAGUGAAUUGCACCGAAGUGGACUGGAGUCAUUUUAGAAAUGCCUGUAGAAACUGGCUGCUGUGAAGAGUUGGCUAGGAACUAAUAAAUCCAGCUCCUUGUUCUCCAGAACUGUAUACAUUUCAGAUGCACUGGUUCAGAGGGGAACCAUUAUAAGUGUGAAAACAUUUUUUUUUUCCUUUGGGUCCAGUGUCACAGGACAGCUGAGUUUUUCUGUAAGAUGGGAAGUGAAGAGUGCAGUGACUUGACUCGGUGGCGGUAGUUGAUGGCAGGUAGUGCUAGGUACUGCAGUGCUGUACUCCUGGUGACUCAGUGGUGGCCAGCAGGCUGAGAUCUUCCGGGCUGUGCACAUCUGUGGAGGUGAGGAAGGUGGGAAACGUGAGGAGUGGAGUUGGGCAUCUGGCCAAUCCUCAGUUGAGAGUAUGGGAGGCUUUCAGGUGGGCGGGAUUGAAACCAUGUCACGUAAAUCAGAGGGGAAGACAGAGAUGUUCGGAGGGGUGAACUGACUCUGAAUGCUCAUUUAUUUGUUUUUAUAAGGAAGAAUAAUGUGAUGUGUUACCCAAGAUGGUGUGAACAGAGCUUCAAGCCAAUGGAGAAGACUAGGCCUAAAUAGCUGACCUGGUGAAGUGACACAUAAAGCCACACCUGGAGUGCCACCUCCUCAGCAGUCUUUCUCAGUGCCAAUGCAUUUAUGGCUGUAAGUGUGGGGGGUUGUCCAGAUGGAAGCAGAGCUCUCGGAACAGGUCUGGUGGAUAGGCGUGGAAAGGCUUUUCUCAGAUGGCCAGCUGCAGUCCGAGAAUAUACAGGCACUAAAAGCUGAGUACGGCACUUUGGUUGGGGGUGGGGGUUGGGGAACCAUCCGCAUAUGUCCUACUGUUCUGUGCUGUUGAAAAUGUCUUUGUGGGGUGUGUGGGGGUUAACCUGUGAUAAGUGAUUAUUUUCAAUGUUUUCACACAGUAAGCUUGUAAAAGAUCAUCUUGCCUAGGGACUAUUUUAUUCCGAAUAAGAAUAAAGCAUUAUUAUACACUGUUAGCACCUCACAUCCCCACAGUAGGAGAGAGAUGUUGGUACUGUGAUGCAAGGCCUUUCUUAAGAGUUUGGUCCAAAAGUAGAUGUUAUGCUCCCAGUGCCCUAGAUUUUAGUUUGUAACCUCCGUGUUUCACAUACUCUAUGUAUGAAGAGAGAGGAAAAAGAAACAUGCCGAAACACACUUGAGUCAGGCAUUUUAGAUUCUUGAGUCCUGUGGAGCCUUUUUGGGCAAGUCCAUCUACUUCUGCUUUGGUGUCCAGGAGGGUAGUUAAAAAUCUGGAUUACAAGGAAGUGCAAAAGAUCAUUCAGUGCCCCACAGCGGGGCCCUGCUUCCGAAUAGGAGAUUUCACACAGAACGUCACCUUACUUCUUGUAUUACCUUGACAUAGAUGAUGGAGUGUGUGCUUCCAGAUGAACUCAUACCUAGCCCAGGCUGGUUCCAGUCGAUCAUGCACAUCGACUCUUCCUACAUUAGCUGCUAUGUAAGAGCUGCCUAUUCUACCUUCACCGUCCCCACUGUGUGUUAAUACAAGUUCUAGCAGCCAAGAUUUUUUUCAUGGACUGAGCCCCCCAUGUACACUAUACUAUGUGUUUUCAUCUGAUUUGCAGUAGAUUUCAUUAGACCUGCUCUUUAGUGUGUACAUGUAUUCAUAAAUGGAUUCAUUGUGUAUUUUGAUGUUUGUGGAAUUAUUCUGGAAAUAGAUUUAUUUUUUCAUUCAUUAGGUUUAUUACACAAACCGAGGGAUGUUCUUAUGGGGAUCCAUGGACGCAGCAGAGAAAGUUACCACAAACCUACCACCCAGAAAUAGUCACUGUUAAUAUAUUGCUACACACCCUUUCAGAUGAUCAAUCCACAUAUAUGUAAAUAGGUCAGUCUCAACCUGCUACUGUGUGUUGCAUCCUAUUCUGUUAAAUGCUGUUCUUACUUGAGAAAAUAUUGAGCAUACUAGGACUAGAACUGGCCUGCACAGGAGACGCUUUGCAAAAUUUAAAGCUCCUACAUGGACCUUCUGGAAUUGUGAGUAGCUUGAAAUACAGAUUCUUAGGGUAUAUUGUAAAGUGAUGCCGGGGUUAGUUGCACAUAGGAUUAAUAGUUCAUUUCUCUGACACAAUUGUUUCCAUUUCCAAAUGCUUAAAUUCUAAAGCAUUUAGAAAGAGAGACCUGAUCUUUUCCUGUGAAAAAGAUGAUCAGAUCAUCAUUCAGGGCAAUUUCCAGAGAGGAAAAUAUAGUCUUUAAGUGUUUUCAAUCAUAGAAAGGAAUCCUAAUAUAUUGAUUAAUACUGUUAGAAAUUUUAUGUAUGUAAAAUUACAGCAAAGGUAAAUUUUACAAACUUAAUAGGUAUGUAUAACAAUAUCUGAGUAUAUAUAUAAAAGCACAUAUUUAAAUUUACAUGUAGAUAUGCAUUAUAAGAAUAGCUUUGUGUUAAACUAUUUAUUUUCUAUAAGCUGUGGAAAUAUGUAUGUUUGUCUCAAUGUCUGUGCACCUCUGCAUGCAUGCGUACUGUUCACCCUCAUACCUUUACCUACAUUCAUAUACAGAUAUGUUCCAUGCAUCGCUAAUUGAUGGUUAAUGCUAAGUGGGAGAUUUCUACUGUGGAGCUUUUGGAGACGGAAAAUUAGCUGCUUUUGAUGUGAACAAAGAUACCCAAGAGAGUUGAAAGGCAAAGCAGCCACAAGAGAAUAAAGGAUUGCUCCUUGCAAAGAUAUAAUAAAGUUAUUUUAAAUAUGAAGAUAUAUCCUUGUGCUUGCUAGGGAGGCAGAUAAACUUCAGACAGAAGGAUUUAUAUGUUUAGGGGCCUUCAGAAGACACUUUAGGGAUUUAGGGAUUAGAUUUCUUUUGGAAACAAGAAGGCCAGAGGUCUCUAUGGUUUGGUGGAUCAGAGCAUCUCUUCUGGAGUCAAAAAGUCUUUCUGGACUAUUUAUAGAGAAUGAGGACUGAUCUGUAAGAGAAUCCAAGGACUGGAUGUUGGCAUCUCUGACCACAGAAGAAAACCAAAUGUUGCUCCUGGUUUGUGUAAGGAAUUUGACUGAGAAAAAUCAAGUUGUUUUACUCAGCUGAGCUAUGUUGGUGUUUGGCUAGGGUGUGUUAAGUAAAUAACAAACAGGGCUUUCUCUUCAAUCAGCAAUGAUGGUUUUCUAAAAUAUAGAUUGAAAUUUUUUCUAGAUAUAAUUGGCAUGGAGCCAAAGAGAGAAAUUCCUUGAAUCAAUCAGAUCCCAUGAAUUUGCUGUUCCAGCUUGUCAAUCUUGCUGCUUUCUUGUUAAUUUUCUAUUUUUGAGUCACAGAGGCAAGAAGUCGGAUCAAUCCUCGCCAGGUACUUCUGUGUCUCCUUUUCUGCUGCUAUUAUUAUUAUUAUUAGAUUAUGAUGAGUCAAUCCAGGAUUUUAGAAUAUGGCCCUGUAACUCCCUUUGUAUGUACUCAAUGGACAUUCCAUUAUUCUGUGGCGCAAGACAUUCUGUAUAAGGGUCAGCAAUAACCUUGAAAAAUCAUUAUUUUAGGGUGAAGGUGGGGAGGCUUCCCAUUGCCUUAGCUCUUCUCUUUCUAUGGGGUUCAGCUUGGACCUUAUUUCUUUGUCAACAGUUCUCCCAUUCUGGUCACUAUCUCCCCUUUACUGUCUCUUACCCAGGUGAACAAGGCCUCCUAAGGAGGACAAGAAGAUAUAACUGGACUGGUUAUCAUUGUUCAUUCUCUUCUCGUCCCUCUCCCACUAGUCCUUUAAAAUAAUCAUGAAGCCAUGAACUCAGAUAUCCAUGACGUUAAGUUAAAAAUUGUACCAAGGAAGCGCUACAGAUAUAGGCUCUGUGUUCUCAUCUACAUUGGCUGAUUUAGGGGCCUUUCAUGUGUUUGCAUCAGGCUCUGGCGGCUGUGAAAACAGCAACAGCUGUAACCUGCCACACUAGAAAAAAUACAUUCAUUGGGUGGAUCCCCGAGUUCUCACAGGAGGCUGGGGCACUGCUGUGUAAAGCUAGCACCCCGUCCUCAGAAAAACUUAAUGUGUAAAACCUAAGGGAGCUUACAGUUCAUAUAAAAUAAUGACAACUUUGAGCUUUUUAAGACUUUGAAGGGCGUGAGUCUAAGAUAAAACUGUGUGACUAUUUUUACAGCAUGUAUUGGUAUGCCAAAAGAAGGUAGCCCAGAUAGCUCAUGUGACAAUUUUUGAGAUCUAAAUAGACCAAUACUUGCUCUUGCUCUACAUUUUAUAUUCUUUUAUAACAUAACUGUAUAGUUUUAGUUAUAAAUAUUUUCCUCUCUUUUUAAAUGGUGCCACAUUAUCAGUACUUCCUGUGUCCUUUUUUUUCUUUUGUGUCUGUCAUGAGAAAUAUUGAAAAGUCUUAUAUUUAAAACAGGACACGGAGAUUGGCAACUGUUGAUUACUCAGGAGCGUAUCUGUGUAGUUUGUGAAAAAAAAAAAAAACAGUUCUCUUAUUUUGCCUUUCUUAUGCCUGUUAUUCCUUAAUCUCUCUUUUCUUUUUAGCCUGAGCAUCAUAUAGGAAAAAGUUUCUGACCUUCUAUGUUAUUACUCUAUUGGCAGCUUUGUUGAAAAGUUUGGUGAGUGAUAAGGUUGUAGUUGAAAUUGUUUCUAGAUCUUUUUAAAUCUCCAUAAAACUUAAAAAAUUUUGCCUUCUAUUGGGCAUAUGUAUCAGCCAGGAAAAUUUCUGUUUUACUUUUUGUACUUUGUAUUAUGAAAAAAUGUUAUAGUAUAAUAGUGUCAUGAUUAAAAGUGGAGACAGACCAGGCAUGGUGGCUCACACCUGUAAUCUCAGCACUUUAGGAGGCACAGAUGGGCAGAUCAGUUGAGCUCAGGAGUUUGAGACCAGUCUGGGCAACAUGGCAAAACCCCAUCUUUACAAAAAAAUAAAAAUAAAAAAAAUUAGUGGGGCGUGGUGGCGUGUACCUGUAGUCCUAGCUACUCAGGAAGCUGAGGCAGGAGGAUCACUUGGGCCCAGGAGGUUGAGGCUUCAGUGAGGCGUGAUCAUGCCACUGCACUUCAGGCUUGAUGACA
This 6685-nucleotide small RNA is filed under the name Pongo abelii (Sumatran orangutan). RNAcentral's name for it is "retained intron". The record is from RNAcentral. Lineage: Eukaryota; Metazoa; Chordata; Mammalia; Primates; Hominidae.